CGCCGCCCGCGACACUGCGAGAAGUCCAUUGAACCUUAUCAUUUAGAGGAAGGAGAAGUCGUAACAAGGUUUCCGUAGGUGAACCUGCGGAAGGAUCAUUG
Molecule: ribosomal RNA, 101 nt
Filed under: Polystachya concreta
Lineage: Eukaryota; Viridiplantae; Streptophyta; Magnoliopsida; Asparagales; Orchidaceae
Also listed under: 41 other names
Description: partial 18S ribosomal RNA
Rfam family: Eukaryotic small subunit ribosomal RNA
Source: RNAcentral